AGAGUUUGAUCCUGGCUCAGAAUCAACGCUGGCGGCGUGCCUAACACAUGCAAGUCGAACGCGGCUUUUCCCGCAAGGGAGAAGCUGAGUGGCAAACGGGUGAGUAACACGUGGGUGACCUGCCUUCGAGUGGGGGAUAACGUUUCGAAAGGAACGCUAAUACCGCAUAACAUCCUGUCUUUUAAGAGAUGGACAUCAAA
RNAcentral lists this ribosomal RNA (200 nucleotides) under uncultured bacterium. RNAcentral describes it as "partial 16S ribosomal RNA". It matches the Rfam family "Bacterial small subunit ribosomal RNA", at positions 8 to 205 of the family's 1533-position model. The record is from RNAcentral.